GACGAACGCUGGCGGCGUGCCUCAUACAUGCAAGUAGAACGCAGUUGCGAACGGGUGAGUAACGCGUAGGUCACUGCCUAUUAGAGGUGGAUAACUAUUGGAAACGAUUGCUACUACCGCCUCCUCUUCUAUGGACCUGCGUUGUAUUAGCUAGUAGGUAGGGUAAUGGCCUACCUCGGCGACGAUACAUAGCCGACCGUAGGUGGUGAUCGGCCAAAUGUGUACUGAGACACGGCCCAGACUCCUACGGGAGGCAGAAGUAGGGAAUCUGCGGAAAUGGGGGGAACUCUGACUGAGCAACGCCGCGUGAGUGAAGAAGGUUUGCGGAUUGUAAAGCUCUGUUGUUAAGGAAGCGGUACCUAACCAGAAAGGGACGGCUAACUACGUGCCAGCAGCCGCGGUAAUUC
This 407-nucleotide ribosomal RNA is filed under the name uncultured bacterium. RNAcentral's name for it is "partial 16S ribosomal RNA". It matches the Rfam family "Bacterial small subunit ribosomal RNA", at positions 28 to 526 of the family's 1533-position model. The record is from RNAcentral.